This 360-nucleotide ribosomal RNA is filed under the name uncultured eukaryote. RNAcentral's name for it is "partial 18S ribosomal RNA". It matches the Rfam family "Eukaryotic small subunit ribosomal RNA", at positions 592 to 976 of the family's 1831-position model. The record is from RNAcentral.
CAAUAGCAUAUAUUAACGUUGUUGCAGUUGAAAAGCUCGUAGUUGAACUUUUGGUAGGAGCGACCUGGCCUUGGGCGCAUGCCCUUGUUUGCCGUGUGUCGUAUCUGGCCAUCCUUUUCCGCUUCGGCGGGAAUCUUUUACUGUGAGUAAACUGGAGUGCUCAAAACAAGACGUUUGUUUGGUACAUUAAAGCAUGGAAUAAUAAGAUAGGACCUGGUUACUAUUUUGUUGGUUUGCAUAGCUAGGUAAUGAUUAACAGGGACAGUUGGGGGUAUUCGUAUUUAAUUGUCAGAGGUGAAAUUCUUGGAUUUAUGAAAGACGAACGACCGCGAAAGCAUUUACCAAGGAUGUUUUCAUUAA